RNAcentral lists this ribosomal RNA (420 nucleotides) under Triticum aestivum (bread wheat). RNAcentral describes it as "partial small subunit ribosomal RNA". Lineage: Eukaryota; Viridiplantae; Streptophyta; Magnoliopsida; Poales; Poaceae. The record is from RNAcentral.
AUGGACGAGUUUCGUGCCAUGAUGGUCAAGCAUGCUUCAUCGACAUCUUCCUCGUCAAGAUGUCGACACUCGAGCCGACACUCAUUGAACACUCUUCCGACGCAAGUCUUCCACGACCUCGUUCUCAUCUUUGAGACGACCAUCAAGAUUAUCAAGCUACACAAAACCCAUUCAUGGCAAUGGUUUGCAAGAUCGCCUUUGGGAGCACAACGACAUCAUCACCAAGAACAAGAUGCCAUGGACCAAGAGAAAGUUCAAAAACGCCAAUGCCAAGAAGAGCAAGAUGACAAAGCCCUUUGGCAAGAACAACAACGCCAUGAGGAGCAAGCGCCUGAAGCACAACGAGACCUACAUGAAGCCACUCGUGCUAUCGAAGAGCACAAUCGACGCAUGCGUGAGGAAGAACAAGCGCUCCGGUGA